UCCAGAUAUCAUAUUACACAACACAAAAAUGCGAACAAUAUUAAUAAUACAUAACUUCCAAAACGAAAUUCGUUAAUAUAGCUUUCCUUGGCCUUGGGCACGUAACAUCAGUUGGUGGCACGGCGAAAGGUCAAAUGGCUCCCCGGUGACUUUACUCCGGUUGCUACCACCAUGUUUGUGGCGGAGGAAGGUGGAGAAGAAGUAGACAAAAGCUGUAUAUCCGAAGUUUGGAACCGUCCCGAGUCGCCGGGAAGUCUUACGUAGGAAGCAGAAGGCGAUUCAUUUAGCCAUGCCCCCUUCUCUCCUUGUCCUCCAUUUUUGUACUGCAUUAUAGCUUUGUACACAUAUGGAAUCAGACCCUCCAUACCAUAUAUUUUGUAUGUUCAACUCUGCGCGUG
This 398-nucleotide long non-coding RNA is filed under the name Olea europaea subsp. europaea. The record is from RNAcentral. Lineage: Eukaryota; Viridiplantae; Streptophyta; Magnoliopsida; Lamiales; Oleaceae.